This is a long non-coding RNA of Anguilla rostrata (American eel), 710 nucleotides long. RefSeq lists it as uncharacterized. NCBI's taxonomy places the organism in Eukaryota, Metazoa, Chordata, Actinopteri, Anguilliformes, Anguillidae. The transcript has 3 exons. The record is from RefSeq and is a predicted model, not a curated record.
CGACAGAACAACAGCAGCAGCUGACUUAGGCAGUAAGAUCGAGGUCCUUGUGGCUGGGAUAAAAUAACAGUCACAACAGCUUUACAAGGAAAGAGACGGCAACAAGGGUCGUGCCAGGCUCCGUGCGAAGAUCAGGACGGAGAAGGGGAUCCUGGCUGCUGUUGUGGAGAAGUACAACAGUAUGGUUCCAAGCACACAAACUGUGAAACCAUUCUGUCUCACGAAACAGCAUGGCCGUGGCAGCAACCACAAAGUGAUUCUGUUGAUCUAAGGACCAAAACAAAAGACUUUGACCAAAUCAUGGCAUUAAGAAGACUCCAGGAGGAGAAGAAAAUUUUGGUCACAGAGAUGGACCGUCAUUGGAAGUCCCCUUUGAGUCGUAGAGACACCCUGGAAAAGCUGUCCCACCUGGUGUCUGAUGACACAGUGAUGAAUUUACAAUGGAUUCUGACCAAAGAAGGGUCCAAAGGACUGCAGUGCAUCAUCCAGAGAAAGCUGUGGAACCUUAAAUGGAUGAAGGCUUGUGCAAGAGACUGUUACUUACUGUUACUUACAGAAGACAGCAACUUGCUACAGGACAUUUGAAGCAACAUUUCAAGUGACAAAUAUGAGCAUGGGAGUGGCUCUGAAAGCUCAGAUGAGUUGUAAUGCAGUGCUAUGCAGUAUAAGUGCAGGGCAUUAUCCAAUCUCUGGUAGGAUUAAAUUUUUUG